Molecule: non-coding RNA, 3927 nt
Organism: Macaca mulatta (Rhesus monkey)
Lineage: Eukaryota; Metazoa; Chordata; Mammalia; Primates; Cercopithecidae
Source: RefSeq, a predicted model, not a curated record
UGCAAAGGUUUAUUGCUGAGUUUGCACAUCUAGCUGAGGGGAGUGCAAAUUGUGCCCCAGCCUUGCCAGAUGGAAGCUCCUUGUCCCCAACUGCAGCACAGGCCUUGGCCUGUGGACAUAAGCAAAGAUUUGGUGCUGGAUGAGGAAGGAGGGAGCAGGGAUGUGGGGACAUGGGCCUUUGUCCCUGAUAGUUCAGGCAUGGCUCUCAGCUUCCCCUGCCAGGGAACCCUGAAUGGAGGGGGCAAGAGAAGCUGCUGGUAGGGACAAGAGGGUCACCCAGGUUUGCUUGUAACCCCACCUGAGGUAGACCCCUUUGGGCACAGCCAGGGCCUUUGUCCUAUCCUGAGUCCUCUGGGCUAAUCAAAGGGAGCUGGACUCUGCCCCCAGCCACCCCUCAGGACAGCCCGGCUAUUGGCUACAGCUGGUGUCAACAGUACCCUCCCUUAACAGGCCAUCCUGUUGUCCAGCUAGCCCGGGGUACUGUGUUUGGGUGAGGAAGUGGUGUGUGGAUCUGGUGUCCAAGGACACAGGGAGCAGAUCCUGAUGGAGAAGGCUGGAGGUUGCUCUGAGCCUAGUAUUUGGGGAAGAGUCCUGUUUUUUCUCACUCUGGCACCCAAGGGCCCCCAGGUCUGCCCCCUCCCCACUAAUGUAUUUAUGUGGGGACCGCACAGGCCAGAGCUAACUUGGACUUUGGACCCUUUGGAGGCUGCUGGGAGGGACAGUCACUGUCUCUGGGUAGACUGGUGUCAAACUUGUCACAUGGAGGUGGCAGGAUGAGCAGCUGGCCUGUGUGUGGGAGGGGUAUUCCCUGUCCUUGAUGAAAUGCUGGGAGGGAGAGCUGUUUGUUGAGCCCAGGCCCACCAGGUGAGUCGUGGGCCCCCAGGGGCAGGAGAGCUGUGGAAGAUUGGUCAGCUGGGGACUGCUGAGUCACGCAAUAGGGAGAAGGCACCAAAGGAUGAAGAUGAAGAGGUGACUCUGAUGAGCUUGCAGCAAGCCCUAGCAGGGCAAGCCCCAGCCCCAAGGAUCUGCACCCCGCACCCGGUGGGCCCAGCGUGGGAGAGGCCAGGAGCAGCAGUGGGUACCUGUGCCCAGGAAAAGCACCUCAUAGCGCCCGUCGGCUGCAUCCACCUGGUCCACAGCAACAGUGGUGAGGCGGUAGGGAGCACCUGUGCGGACCACCAGGGGCCGCCGCUGCAGAGGGUACACGGCCUGGUACAUGAGCGGGUGGCUGCGCAUGAAGUUGAUCACCUCAUCAGGAUAGUCCUUGGUGGACUUCAUAGAUGGUGUGAAGGUUCCACCAGGGCACUGUGGACAGGUGGUAAGUGUCAGUCCCAGGCUGCCUGGGCAGUGCAGGCUGGAGCCAUUAGCUUCAGAAGAGGCCGCUGCACUGUCCCCACCACCUCAACCUGCUCCUCUCCCCAAAGCCCCUCUCCAGGUUUCUGCCCUGCACCUGACCUCUACAGGUCCUGCUCCGGCCAAAGUCUCACGUGGUCAAAUGCCACAGCCACCUCCCUGGCCUCAUGUGCCAUGACCUCGUGGCAGCAUUUGGCCAAGCAGACCACUCCCUUCCACGUCCCCUCCCCACCCUGUCAUCUCCUUUCUCUCUGGCUGUUCCUAGGGUCUCACUCGUCUCCCUCCUGCACAGCUGGACUACAGGCCCUGACGUCCUUGUCACACACCAGGCUCACUCUCCUCCUUCCUGAAGCUGUCACCUGAGCCUGGGCUCAGCCUGCCCCCACCAUGGUCAGCUUACAUCUGGCCCAUCCUUCUGACUCCAGGUUACCUCUGGAAGGAAGCCUCCCCUGUCCCCCGCUGAGACCAGCUUCCCCAGCCCAGUCCUGACCACAUGGAGUCAGAGUGCAUUGAUCAGAUCCGCUGCUCUCCUGUUUAGACUCCUGCAUCAGCCCAGUGUCACAUCAAGAUAAAGUGACACACCUCUGUGACCUCUGAGACCCUGCCUGAGGCCUAGCCCUGCCCCUCCCCAGUUCUUUGCCUCCUGUUCCUCAGCUGAGCCAACCUCCAGCCUGCCUCCAGUAUCCGCCGGGAAGACGCUUCCCUCCAACCUUUGGCUCCCAGACAGUUCCACAGAGGACCCUCUGAGGAGCACCCAGCACACCAUCUUUGUCCCAGAAUCCUGGCUGAGCUCCUCCACAGCCUGAACUGUGUGUGAAGGCCCGUCUGUGUGCACUGCAGCUCACUGCCUCUGCUGGCUGGGAGGGCCAUGAUGGUGGGGUCCAUGUUGCAGAGGGCCUGACCCAGAGGCCUCUUAGAAGAAGACGAAGGGGAGAGGCAAGAUGAGUGGGGUUCUUACCGUGCCCGGCCGUGGGUAGGGCAUCUUCCCUGAGAAGGGCAUCCACUGGUAGUUGGGCCCCUCUUUGUGGGCAAAGGGCCCGUUGAAGACCAUGCGAAUAUCAGCCAUGGAGUAGACACACACAGCAGAGCCUCGGAACACGGAGCUGUGGGCACAGGAGGCGCUCUGAGCGGGACGAGUCCCUCCCCAAAUGCCCCCUCCCCACGGCUCACCACCGUGCCAGGGUCCUACACGAGUUAUAAUCCCCCAACGGGGCCACUUCCUGCCACUGCUGGCCCCGAACCCAGCCUCACCCAGAGGAGGUAAAGACAGCGUAAAUGACAGGGUUCCUCACGUCCUGGGUCUGCUGGACAAACACGUCCUCUGGGAACAGAGGGAGAAGGUAUUGGAGGGUGCCUUGGGUGGGAGCCCCUGGGCCUCACCCACUCCUGCACAGGGGAGGGGGCCCACCAAAGGCACCCUGACCACCCAUCCAGCCUCUAUCCCUCUUGCUGUAGCCAGAGCACCCUGCCUGCCUGCUGGGCACUCACGGAGCUCAUCAAAGUGAGUCUCAAUGCCAUCCUCGCCCGGGACGGAGCAGACGAGCCGCGCCUUCAGGAAUGUGCUCCACUUGUUGACCAGGCAACAGUGACCACCGUCAUCAUUCUGAGGGGUGGGGCAAGAGGCCAGGUCAGAUCAGCUCUUGACCCCACACCCUGGCUGAAGCAGGGCUGAUGAAGGCAGAAUUGGUGGAGGAGGCAGCCUGGUGGCUCUGCCAAUGCAUACCAGGCAAAUGCGCCCAAUGCGGGCAUACACAGCGGGGCUCUGUGGCGCCUCUGCCGACCGCUCACGGAAGAAGAAGUAGAGCUUAUCAUCAUUGCGCUCCGCACUGUCAGGAAUGAGCUCAGCAUGGAUGAACGAUGGGUCUGCAGAUAGCAGGGGUCAGCUAGGUGAGCCCCUACUCUGAUGAUGCCCCUGAUGUUCUCCAACAUCCCCAGCCAGGUACAAGAACACCCCCAACUCCUCUCCAGAUAAGAAACUACCCCUGCCCCAGGUAGUCAUAGGCUAAAUAUGUCCCUAAUUCCCCGACAUGUGCUUCUUUGCAACCUCCUUGCCGCAUCCCAGACACAUGGCCAUGGAAGGGCUCCUGGAGCUGCGCUUACCGUUCAGCCACCGGGAGUUGUACUGAUCCGUGCGCAUGGCCGUCUGCUUUCCAAGUGUGCGGAAGAUGGCUGCGUCAGUGCCCAUAAAAUCGAUGUACACACCAGCAUAGAGCUCCUCAUCUGUGGGUGGGCCAGUGGGUCAGUCAGAGGGCUGCUGUUUGCUAGGGCCAGGGCACAGCUCAGAUGACUUCCAGGGCAGGGCCUUAUCUCCCUGCUCAGGCUCCCUGGGGCAUGAUCUUAUCUCCAUGGAGUGCUGGUCAGUGUUUCACCACUGGCUCUGGGGGGGUUGGGAUUAGUAACAGUCAGCUCUGAUUAGUAGCAAUAGCCCAUUUCUGUGGUGUGAAUACUCCUGCCAUGACUAAUUUCAAGCUACCAACCUGAGGUCACUGAAAGCAAAAUCAGGAAGAGCUGUCAACACCACUGUACAGUAUUUCUACCCCACAGACACAACAAAUGUAAAUCACCUCAAGAGCA